CUUUGCAAAUCAUCCAUUUUCACACAAGACAUUAAGUUAGUUGUAUAGUAUAUAGAUGUAUUUUCUGUAGUUGUGGGCAUCUUUUGAACUACUGGAUCGGAUGAUAUAUAUUACAUGAAUAAUUUAACAAGGUUGGUUAGAGGAUAACCAAGUGACCUUGUUAAAUCUAACCAUGAACCACUUGGAGGAUGCAUGUUAAUUUAACAAGGUCAAUGCGCACGGGAUCCAUGCAUGUUAAUCUAAUAACCAGGAAUCCCACUUGGAGAAACUUUGUUGGAGAGAUAUCAAUUCUUACUCCCUCAAUCCCCGCUAGAUCCAUGCAUGUUAAUUUCACAAGGUCAAUGCUUCAUAUAUGCAUAGUAUAUGUAGCUGAGUCUUGCAUGCUUUGCUGGCUAGCUAGUGUAGAUUGUUAAAGGCUUUCGCUGCCUAUAAAUAGCCUCGCCCGCCCAAAGCUUAUGGGGACAAAUAUAUCAUCGAUCAGAGUAGCAGAUCGACCACCUCUCUCAUCCGAGCUCUUCCGAUCCAUCCAUCAUCUCGCCCAUAUAUAUAUACUAUACCCCUUCUAGAUACUAAUAGCUCUAGCUAGCUAGCUAGCUAUAGUCACAUCUCGAUCGAUCUCAAUGGCUUCUCGUGCGGCCGCCGCGCUGAAGAUGGCCACCAUAGCUGCCCUUGUCCUGCUGCUGUGCGUGGGUACCUCACCUGUGACAGCCCAAGAUUGUGUUAGCCAAUGCACAGUGUGGUGCGUCCAGGCACUACUAGAGAACGAACAGACCUUUCGUCGAUGUGUCAAAUGAGCUUUAGUCCCGGCAUUUUUGGCGCCCGGGACAAAAGAAAUCUUUAGUCCCGGUUGGUAAAGCCAACCGGGACUAACGUUCCCUCCCCAACGGCUCUGGUGUCAGGCGCUGUCGGAGAGGGACCUUUAGUCCCGGUUGGUGUUACCAACCGGGAGUAAAUACUUACCUUUAGCCCCGGUUUGUGACACUAACCGGGACUAAAGCUUUUGUCCCGGUUGUGGGCACGGAUAAUAUAUAUGUAGUUUCAUACUUUAUUUGUGUGCAAUAAUAAUGACGCUCUCGUAUAGGUGCAACGUAUACGGAUAAUUGCGGCGUAUACGAUUAAAUUGGAGAACAUAUACAAUUGAAAACCAAAAUCAAUAAAGAAAUGAAAAGGAAAAAAAAAGAAAAGAAAAACAAAAAAAACCUUUAGUCCCGGUUGGUAAUACCAACCGGGACUAAAAGGGGUGGCCAGAGGUGGCGCCACGUCACUGCCUGGUGCCCCCUUUAGUCCCGGUUGGGGUUACCAACCGGGACUAAAGGUCCCCAUUUAGUCCCAGGUCUGGGAGCCGGGACUAAAGGUGGGACUUUUAGUCCCGAUCUCUUAGUUCCGGCUCGCCACCCAGGAAUACAAGUGGUUUUCGACCGGGACUAAAGGCCUGUUCUGUACCAGUGAGGUAUGCAGCACUAAUUUUGAGGAGUGGUGUGGCGCCGUCUGCCAGGAAAGCUGUGACGCCGGGCAGUACCCUCCUCCUCAGUGGCCUUGCCAGCCCUAGUAUGCCUUUGCCUCGAUCGGCCCUUUAUUUGCAACCAGAUACAUAUGCAUGGUUUAAUUAAUAUAUGUUCAUAUUUCCUUAUUAUUGUUAUUGCAAAGAAUAAAGAUGAGUGCAUGCAAGCAGAAGCAGGCAGGACCUCUCUCCACAUAUAUACAUGUGCCAGCACCCAGCAGCCGCACCGUGUGCGAGAGGGCGCGCUUGUUUUUGUUUGCUGCUAGGUUAUUGCACGCAAAACAAAUCUUGUACUAGUGUUAAUCGUAUAUAUGUUUCGUGGUUGAGCCGCCACCUGCCGCCGGCAUGACGGCGCGUACAAUAAGAUCGACGUCCUAUAUUAGUAUAGGAGUAGUACAAUUGUACACCUCUCCUCUCUCUCUCUCCAUGCAUGUAUAAAUGGAAGGGGAAUAGUAAUACGUGCCCUGUGCCCAUCAUCUUGGUGCCGUUGUAUGUAUGGUUGUGUGUGCAUGUCAAUAUGUAAGUUUCUCUCAGGUCCUACUAGGUACUUGAGGGAAUAUUCGAUCAUUGGUAUCAUUAUAUAAUUUAUGGACUUUUCGAUUAUGAAUGAUGAUAUAGUAUUUUCCAGAUUUCACAAGCAGCUAGCUCAAUUUGUCGUGCCUUGAAUCUACCCCUUACUGCCUCUCUCACAAUUUACUGUACAUUACAGUAACAGAUCGCAUGAAAAUACACCCGUUAAGUAUAACAC
This 2249-nucleotide long non-coding RNA is filed under the name Sorghum bicolor (sorghum). Its description in RNAcentral is "long non-coding RNA (SBIC_LNC015034)". Lineage: Eukaryota; Viridiplantae; Streptophyta; Magnoliopsida; Poales; Poaceae. The record is from RNAcentral.